Molecule: ribosomal RNA, 490 nt
Filed under: uncultured bacterium
Lineage: Bacteria
Description: partial 16S ribosomal RNA
Rfam family: Bacterial small subunit ribosomal RNA
Source: RNAcentral
AUUGAACGCUGGCGGCAGGCCUAACACAUGCAAGUCGAACGGUAACAGGAAGAAGCUUGCUUCUUUGCUGACGAGUGGCGGAUGGGUGAGUCAUGUCUGGGAAACUGCCUGAUGGAGGGGGAUAACUACUGGAAACGGUAGCUAAUACCGCAUAACGUCGCAAGACCAAAGAGGGGGACCUUCGGGCCUCUUGCCAUCGGAUGUGCCCAGAUGGGAUUAGCUAGUAGGUGGGGUAACGGCUCACCUAGGCGACGAUCCGUAGCUGGUCUGAGAGGAUGACAGGCCACACUGGAACUAAGACACGGUCCAGACUCCUACGGGAGGCAGCAGUGGGGAAUAUUGCGCAAUGGGCGCAAGCCUGAUGCAGCCAUGCCGCGUGUAUGAAGAAGGCCUUCGGGUUGUAAAGUACUUUCAGCGGGGAGGAAGGGAGUAAAGUUAAUACCUUUGCUCAUUGACGUUACCCGCAGAAGAAGCACCGGCUAACUCCGUG